Molecule: ribosomal RNA, 374 nt
Filed under: uncultured organism
Description: partial 16S ribosomal RNA
Rfam family: Bacterial small subunit ribosomal RNA
Source: RNAcentral
GUAGGUGGCAAGCGUUGUCCGGAAUUAUUGGGGCGUAAAGUGCGCGCAGGCGGUUCUUUAAGUCUGAUGUGAAAGCCCACGGGCUCAACCGUGGAGGGUCAUUGGAAACUGGAGAACUUGAGUACAGAAGAGGAAAGCGGAAUUCCACGUGUAGCGGUGAAAUGCGUAGAGAUGUGGAGGAACACCAGUGGCGAAGGCGGCUUUCUGGUCUGUAACUGACGCUGAGGCGCGAAAGCGUGGGGAGCAAACAGGAUUAGAUACCCUGGUAGUCCGCGCCGUAAACGAUGAGUGCUAAGUGUUAGGGGGUUUCCGCCCCUUAGUGCUGCAGCUAACGCAUUAAGCACUCCGCCUGGGGAGUACGGCCGCAAAGGCUG